Molecule: ribosomal RNA, 527 nt
Filed under: uncultured bacterium
Lineage: Bacteria
Description: partial 16S ribosomal RNA
Rfam family: Bacterial small subunit ribosomal RNA
Source: RNAcentral
UGGGGAAUAUUGCACAAUGGGCGAAAGCCUGAUGCAGCAACGCCGCGUGAGUGAUGAAGGUCUUCGGAUUGUAAAGCUCUGUCUUUUGGGGCGAUAAUGACGGUACCAAAGGAGGAAGCCACGGCUAACUACGUGCCAGCAGCCGCGGUAAUACGUAGGUGGCGAGCGUUGUCCGGAUUUACUGGGCGUAAAGGGUGCGUAGGCGGAUGUUUAAGUGAGAUGUGAAAUACCCGGGCUUAACUUGGGUGCUGCAUUUCAAACUGGAUAUCUAGAGUGCAGGAGAGGAGAAUGGAAUUCCUAGUGUAGCGGUGAAAUGCGUAGAGAUUAGGAAGAACACCAGUGGCGAAGGCGAUUCUCUGGACUGUAACUGACGCUGAGGCACGAAAGCGUGGGUAGCAAACAGGAUUAGAUACCCUGGUAGUCCACGCCGUAAACGAUGAGUACUAGGUGUAGGAGGUAUCGACCCCUUCUGUGCCGCAGUAAACACAUUAAGUACUCCGCCUGGGAAGUACGAUCGCAAGAUUAAA